RNAcentral lists this ribosomal RNA (465 nucleotides) under Vreelandella stevensii. Its description in RNAcentral is "partial 16S ribosomal RNA". It matches the Rfam family "Bacterial small subunit ribosomal RNA", at positions 338 to 795 of the family's 1533-position model. Lineage: Bacteria; Pseudomonadati; Pseudomonadota; Gammaproteobacteria; Oceanospirillales; Halomonadaceae. The record is from RNAcentral.
CCUACGGGCGGCAGCAGUGGGGAAUAUUGGACAAUGGGGGCAACCCUGAUCCAGCCAUGCCGCGUGUAUGAAGAAGGCCCUCGGGUUGUAAAGCACUUUCAGUGAGGAAGAACGCCUGGUGGUUAAUACCCAUCAGGAAAGACAUCACUCACAGAAGAAGCACCGGCUAACUCCGUGCCAGCAGCCGCGGUAAUACGGAGGGUGCGAGCGUUAAUCGGAAUUACUGGGCGUAAAGCGCGCGUAGGUGGCUUGAUAAGCCGGUUGUGAAAGCCCCGGGCUCAACCUGGGAACGGCAUCCGGAACUGUCAAGCUAGAGUGCAGGAGAGGAAGGUAGAAUUCCCGGUGUAGCGGUGAAAUGCGUAGAGAUCGGGAGGAAUACCAGUGGCGAAGGCGGCCUUCUGGACUGACACUGACACUGAGGUGCGAAAGCGUGGGUAGCAAACAGGAUUAGAUACCCCUGUAGUC